CCUACGGGUGGCAGCAGUAGGGGAUUUUGCGCAAUGGGGGAAACCCUGACGCAGCAACGCCGCGUGAUCGAUGAAGCCCUUCGGGGUGUAAAGAUCUGUCAGUGGGGACGAAACCUGACGGUACCCACCGAGGAAGCACCGGCUAACUCCGUGCCACCAGCCGCGGUAAUACGGGGGGUGCAAGCGUUUUCCGGAAUCAUUGGGGGUAAAGAGUUCGUAGUGGGCAAGUUAGGUCUGGUGUGAAAGGCGGAAGCUCAACUUCCGUAGGGCACUGGAUACUGGCGAGCUUGAGUGCGGUAGAGGCAAAGGGAAUUCCUGGUGUAGCGGUGAAAUGCGUAGAUAUCAGGAGGAACAUCGGUGGCGUAAGCGCUUUACUGGGCCGUAAUUGACACUGAGGAACGAAAGCCGGGGUAGCAAAUGGGAUUAGAUACCCCAGUAGUC
RNAcentral lists this ribosomal RNA (441 nucleotides) under uncultured bacterium. RNAcentral's name for it is "partial 16S ribosomal RNA". It matches the Rfam family "Bacterial small subunit ribosomal RNA", at positions 338 to 795 of the family's 1533-position model. The record is from RNAcentral.